RNAcentral lists this ribosomal RNA (827 nucleotides) under uncultured bacterium. Its description in RNAcentral is "bacterial SSU rRNA". It matches the Rfam family "Bacterial small subunit ribosomal RNA", at positions 8 to 829 of the family's 1533-position model. The record is from RNAcentral.
AGAGUUUGAUCAUGGCUCAGAACGAACGCUGGCGGCGCGCCUAAUACAUGCAAGUCGAGCGAGAAGGUGUAGCAAUACACUUGUAAAGCGGCGAACGGGUGAGGAAUACAUGGGUAAUCUACCAUCGAGUGGGGAAUAACCAACCGAAAGGUUGGCUAAUACCGCGUACGCUUCUGAGCCUUCGGGUUCGGAAGGAAAGCCGUACUGUGAGUGCGGCGCUCUUUGAUGAGCUCAUGUCCUAUCAGCUUGUUGGUAGGGUAACGGCCUACCAAGGCUUUGACGGGUAGCUGGUCUGAGAGGACGAUCAGCCACACUGGCACUGCGACACGGGCCAGACUCCUACGGGAGGCAGCAGUAAGGAAUAUUGCGCAAUGGGCGAAAGCCUGACGCAGCGACGCCGCGUGGGGGAUGAAGGUCUUCGGAUUGUAAACCCCUUUCGGGAGGGAAGAUGGAGCGAGCAAUCGUUCGGACGGUACCUCCAGAAGCAGCCACGGCCAACUUCGUGCCAGCAGCCGCGGUAAUACGAAGGUGGCAAGCGUUGUUCGGAUUCACUGGGCGUACAGGGUGUGUAGGCGGUUUGGUAAGCCUUCUGUUAAAGCUUCGGGCCCAACCCGGAAAGCGCAGAGGGUACUGCCAGGCUAGAGGGUGGGAGAGGAGCGCGGAAUUCCCGGUGUAGCGGUGAAAUGCGUAGAGAUCGGGAGGAAGGCCGGUGGCGAAGGCGGCGCUCUGGAACAUACCUGACGCUGAGACACGAAAGCGUGGGGAGCAAACAGGAUUAGAUACCCUGGUAGUCCACGCCCUAAACUAUGGAUACUAAGUGUCGGCGG